RNAcentral lists this ribosomal RNA (774 nucleotides) under uncultured Neocallimastigales. Its description in RNAcentral is "partial large subunit ribosomal RNA". It matches the Rfam family "Eukaryotic large subunit ribosomal RNA", at positions 24 to 627 of the family's 3401-position model. The record is from RNAcentral. Lineage: Eukaryota; Fungi; Neocallimastigomycota; Neocallimastigomycetes; Neocallimastigales.
UAUCUCUGUAGAGUCUGCAUAUCAAUAAGCGGAGGAAAAGAAACUAACUAGGAUUCCCUCAGUAACGGCGAGUGAAGCGGGAAGAGCUCAAAUUUGAAAUCUUCAAGGUUCUACCUUGACGAAUUGUAGUUUAAAGAAGUGUUUUCUGUUGGAGUUUCGGUAAAAGUUCUUUGGAAUAGGACAUCAUAGAGGGUGAGAAUCCCGUAUUUGACCAUUAUUUCCAGCUUUGUGAUACACUUUCAAAGAGUCGGAUUGUUUGGGAAUGCAGUCCAAAAUGGGUGGUAAAUUUCAUCUAAAGCUAAAUAUUGGCGAGAGACCGAUAGCGGACAAGUACCGUGAGGGAAAGAUGAAAAGAACUUUGAAAAGAGAGUUAAACAGUACGUGAAAUUGUCAAAAGGGAAGCGUUUGACACCAGUGUUGUUUUCUCGAAAAUCAAUUAAAAAAGGCAGGACUUUGUGUUGUAUUGACUUUAUCAGCUUUCUGCACUCUUUUCUUGUCUUUUUUAAUGCACUUUUCGUUUAACAAGUCAACAUCAAUUUCUUUUGUUGUAAAAGGGUCAUUGGAAGGUGGCUUUCUUUUCGGAGAAAGUGUUUAUAGCCUUUGGCCUCUGCAAUCGGAGAGAUUGAGGUCUGCAGCGUAGAUCCUUCGGGGUUAGAUACAUUUGUGCUAAGUUAUAGCCUUUCAUAGACAACUUGUUGACUAUGAUCAGUCAUGUAGCUUACUCGCUUAUGCUAUUUUACCUACGCUUAGGAUGUUGACGAUCAGCUGAGCGCG